GGGAAGGUGGCAUCUCCGCUGCGCACCGGCACUCCUGUGGGUACAAGGAACAGCAGCCUGAGAGACACGACCACGAGGCACUUCCAGGGCAGGAACAGUGUGUGCAAAGGGAAGGACAGAGAGGAAGAAGGACUGUUGAUUGCUUUGGAGAAUGAUAAUCUACUGUCUUAGAAGAUGGGGAAAACAUCAAGAAGGUACAUUAAUUAAAACUGGACAGAAAGCAGGAGAGCUGUUCCACCUUUCUUGGCAAAGAAACAAAAUGAAGAUUUCGCUUAUGGUUUUGCAAGCUCUGUCAUUUCCUCUUGGGAUGUACUAAUGAAUGUAGCCCAUCUCUCUAGUUCUGACCCCAUGUCAUUCCAUCUGCUAGUGUUACAGGACACAAGAUUAAAGGCGAUGAGGUGAGGUCAAGAUGAGGGGGUGUAUUUGAUCAAAGGAUAAAAGAAAUUUGUGCUUCUUUUUUUUCCUGUGGACUAAUUAUCCCAAUUAGAUUGAAAAUGGAGCUAUUCAUAAGCUUACAAAGAUUAAUGUCACGAAUAUUUAAAGAACUUCUAGCAAUAAGUCAAUGAUAAGGGCACAGCAACCUAGUAGAAAAAUGGAUCAAGUAAAUGGAAAAGCACAGUGGAAAUGAAGACACAUACCAGAAACCCCAAUGAUCCAACGGUCUACAAUACUGACCCAUGUACAUAGAACCAACAAAUACACAUGAAAAUGUCUCGAUUAGGCUGGCAAAAUGGCUCAGUGGGUAAAGGUGCUACUACCAAGCCUGAUGAUCAGAGUUCUCUCCUGGAGAUUCAGAAAGUGGAAGAUGAUAAAUGACUCUGAAAAGGUGUCCUCUUGCUUGCACACAUGUAUCUCUACACACAUGGCACACACACACACACACACACACACACACACACACACAGAGUCCAAAUGGAAUAAAAAUAUCUGAUGUUACUAAGUA
Long non-coding RNA from Mesocricetus auratus (golden hamster), 943 nucleotides. RefSeq lists it as uncharacterized. Lineage: Eukaryota; Metazoa; Chordata; Mammalia; Rodentia; Cricetidae. The record is from RefSeq and is a predicted model, not a curated record. The transcript has 2 exons.